ACUUUUGAAUAAAUGAUGUGGACAAAGCGGAUUAAACCACUCUAUUUCUAGAGCGGAUAACAAAUUACGCUUAUCAAAUUUAUUUCUACGUAAAAAUGAUCUGUAGUUAAGCUGUCGCAGAUAAUUUUUUUUUUUUUUAAUCCGCAUUAUUAUGGAUUAUAACUUAUCAAUGGUAACCAAAAAGCAACUCAAGCCGCAAACGGAUUCGUGCGUCCCAAGUGUCACAACUAUUCGAACUAUAUAUGAAGUUAUGUGUCUGUUAGAACUGG
RNAcentral lists this small RNA (269 nucleotides) under Arabidopsis thaliana (thale cress). RNAcentral describes it as "ATSL214670". Lineage: Eukaryota; Viridiplantae; Streptophyta; Magnoliopsida; Brassicales; Brassicaceae. The record is from RNAcentral.